This 568-nucleotide small RNA is filed under the name Pongo abelii (Sumatran orangutan). RNAcentral describes it as "processed transcript". The record is from RNAcentral. Lineage: Eukaryota; Metazoa; Chordata; Mammalia; Primates; Hominidae.
AAACUAGGACUUGCUCAGCAGAGGCCACCAGCCCGGAGCUAGAGCCAGAGCCCGGCCUUGGGGACCCCAGCUCCCGCCUGCGCCCUGCCUUCCAGAUCAGGUCAAAAGGGGCCCCCAGCCCCUCCUUGCUUUCUGCUUCCUCCCUCUGUAUCUGGCUGGGUGGGUGUGGGGAGGGUUGGAUCCGGGUGGACCCAGGCCCCACCAUCCCUAGGCAAGGGGCCUGCCCUGCCAGGUUCCUGAAGCUGAUGGAAAAGGGUCCCUCCAAGCUCUUGCUGAGCCAGGGCAGACCCUGCCGAGUAAACACUCACUGGCCUGGUCGCCUUCUUACCAUCCAGCCUGGCCUACCUGCUCCCCGAGGAAAGCCAUCACCAAGUCGGGCCUCCAGCACCUGGCCCCCCCUCCGCCCACCCCUGGGGCCCCGUGCAGCGAGUCAGAGCGGCAGAUCCGGAGCACAGUGGACUGGAGCGAGUCAGCGACAUAUGGGGAGCACAUCUGGUUCGAGACCAACGUGUCCGGGGACUUCUGCUACGUUGGGGAGCAGUACUGUGUAGCCAGGAUGCUGCAGAAG